Molecule: long non-coding RNA, 5744 nt
Organism: Cydia strobilella
Lineage: Eukaryota; Metazoa; Arthropoda; Insecta; Lepidoptera; Tortricidae
Exons: 4
Source: RefSeq, a predicted model, not a curated record
ACAGAUUUGUAUUUUUACGUAUUAAUACCUAACUUAGGAGUGUUUUUUUUUGAUAUUUAUAUGUUAGUUACGGCUCAUACUAGGUAUACAAUAACCAAGCAAAAUUUCAUCGACAGAAAUUAAUGCAUGGGUCUCCAUACAACAACUACACCUAUUUCCUACACUAUUUGGGCUUAGAACCUUUUUUGUCUAUAAAUACUCAGUUACUGUUAUUCUAAAACAAAAAAAUUGCAUGUUUUCAAAUAUUGACAACGUCACGACAUGACAACGCGUAACAACAUCGUAACAAUGAGUGGAUCAUAAGUAAUUGUUACUAUAUUUGUCAUAUAUUUAUUUUAUAAGUAAGUAUUUCAUAAGUAAAAAUGUUAAUAUAUAUCAUAUUACAGUCGUUCCCCAAAAAGUUCGGAAGGUACCGGCCGGUACGUAACCGGGAGCUGGCGGUGGGGUUCGUGACAACGGGGCUUGGGGGUCGCUCGUCGACCAAGGACGGGUGAUCUCGCGUAGCGCCCUUCCUCAACGGCCUCCCUGGUGUCCAUAAAAGUCCACAGGGCUGGGCUACUCAUUGGUCCAAGUAUAAAAAUCGCAUCAGAAGCAAAAUAAGAAACAUUAAAAUCUUGGCGACGGGGACGGGCGGAGGUCCGGCAACCAAACUGAGGUUGUCGGCCAAUGAACAGCGGGUGCAUCGUUUGUUGGGGCCACUAUUUGGUGGCUCCAUGCCAAAUGUGCAGGUGCCCGUGUUCGGAGAGAGGGAGGGAGACGACGAAGCACCCAGGCCAAGGGCCCAAAGAGAAAACGUGGAGGAUCCGGGUGCGCCACCUCCAGAUUUAUCGGCAAGACCCAGACCACCGUGGGCAACCCAGGAGCCCCUCUCAGAAUCGACCGGCCCAGGUGCCGCACCCAGGCGGAACUUAUCGGUGGCCUCGCCAAAUGCCGGCACUAGGGGCACUGGUGCAGGCCUGGCGACGGAGUCCCCCCAGUCCUCCCGCCCAGGUGCCGCACCCAGGUGGGACCCAUGCGUGCCCUCGCCAAAAGACGGCACUAGGGGCACGGGCGCAGGCCUGGCGAAAGAGACCCCCCAGUCCUCCCGCCCAGGUGCCGCACCCAGUUGGGAGUAGGACCCAUGGGCGACCUCGCCAAAUGCCGGCACUAGGGGCACGGGCGUUUUGUGUAUAUAUUAUGUAUUAAUAUAUCAAAUAACUCGUUAAUAAGAGUUUUGAAUGAUUCACGGUUAGUUUCACUAGACUUAUAUUGACCGAAAUACAAAAGGUACUAACGGUCUAUAUCCCGGUCAAUAUAAGUCUAGUGGAAGUUGUUAAUAGCAUUACACUGUCUUAUCUUAUCUACCGUAUAAAUAUUGAUUAUGAUUAUGCAUUUGGAAAGUAUCAAAUUAGAACCUGCUGAAACUUUUUCAUUGUUAGGUUUGAAUAUACCGUGGAAUAUACUUACUCGAAUUUAAUUUAGCCUAGAUGGUAGUGACAUCGAGUCAUUGGUUGCUUACGAAGCAGGAGGUCCCGGGUUCGAAUCCGUUAGGACAUUUAUGUGUGUGUUAAUAAUAUAAUAAAAGCUGAAGACGUGGGUUCGAUUCCCGCCUCGGCUACCGGUGGACUUGGUCACUUUUUAUUUAGUGUCUGAUAUCUAUUUUAGUUUAAAAUUUAUAUACAGUAGUGCGACUAUCUAAAAAACCAUAAAAAUAAAUAAUUUCAUAAAAAUAAUUUAAUUUGUUCCCCAGUUGAAUUAUUCCUGAGUUCUGGAUGUUUUCUAUGUAUAAAAGUAUUCAUAUACAUACAUCGUCGUCUAGUAGCCUUAUUAUUGAACUUAUUGUGAAACUAGUUCAAUCUGUGUUAAAUUGUCCUUUAAUAUUAUGUAUCUAUUUAUACUACAGUCCCAUCAGCAUGCAGCGCUCUAUAUACGGGAAUUGAUAUAUCUAUUCUAUGACUCUUUUCUUUCCGGUCAGACUCUCAAAUGUAUGCAGAGCUUGAGAACAUACUUUAAAAAGCUCGGAAUGUCGACGAUUGCGUGUUUUUAUGUUUUUAGGGUUCUGUACCCAAAGGGUAAAAAACGGGACCCUAUAACUUAAACAGUGGACUGUCUAUCUGUCUGUCUGUCCGUCUGUCACCAGGCUAUAUCUCAUGAACUGUGAUAUCUAGACAGUUGAAAUUUUCACAGAUGAUGUAUCUCUGUUGCCGCUACAACAACAAAUUUAAUACUAAAAACUAAAUAAAAUAAAUAUUUAAGUACGGAACCCUUCGUGCGCGAGUCCGACUCGCACUUGGCCGGAUUUUUAAUAUAGAUUAGUUUUCAAUCACACAUAGCAACUUUAAGGCGGGAUGCCACCAAUGUGCGGCACAAGCAUAUUCAUUACUAAAAUGUUGUUUAGUAAUUAAAGGAUUGGGAGUAGGUUAAUUAGGUUAGGGUAGUUAAUUAGGUUGGAUUAUGGGCUGAAUCAUGUAAAAAAAAGUUGGGGCCAUCGCUUGGUCAUUUGUGUAUUGGUGCCACAGUGCCACUACCUUAGUAGUUGUACGAGUUAUGUACCUAAUUAUUUUUAUUACAGCAUACCCUGCCCUUAGUGCCCUGGAAACGGCAGAAGCGUCAAUCCAGGACCUAGAGCGUCGCCAUGCGGCCAACGACGCUACAUUGGGGCAGGCUAUGCUCCGCGUCGCGCGGAACAUGGAACUGCUCAUCACGUCCCAUGAAGCCCACAACACGGCUUCAUGAGCAGGUUGUGAGGCUCAUAACCUCACGUGAUGAGCAGUUCAAACAGUAUCAAACCACGACCAACAGCCUGCUACAUCACAUGUCAAGGCAGCAUGAUGCUCUUAUAAGAUUGCUCGAUGUAAUGGCAAGCCGUGUUUGCUCGUCAAAUCGGGAAGAAGGACGUAAUGACGAAUGACGAUGAAUACAGAACAGGAUGACUCUUCCGUCAUGCCCGUCCGCCCGUAUUACCCAACCAGAUGCUUUUGGUCGUCAUCCGGAGACAACGACAUCAACAUCAACUAUCAACCUCCAGAGUUUACCCAGGCCAUUAUGAUUAUUUCUUAGAAUUCACACAUUUUUAUUACACACUUUUAUUUAGCUUGACGCCGUAUAUCCAAACUAUCUUUGUAUUUGUGUGUGCUUCAAAUCUUGAAACUUAAAUUUGAACCACUUGCCGAUGUCUGAUUCAGUUGAAAUUUGGAGUACAUCCGUAAUUCCCAAGACAAUGCAAUAAUAUGCUAACAUGGAGCUGAUCUGAUGAACCAGUCAGAAUAAGUAGCAAACUUAACUCUUCUAUGGAAAAACACAAACACAUUGAGUUUGGGUUCAUUAGAAAGGUCUCGUACAGUCAGCAGUAAAAGUGUGUCAGUAACUCGUAUACUCCACAACAUGUGACAUUAUGAAUUGUCACGAAUUAAAAUAUUUUCUAUAAAUAAUUUAAUUUGUUCUCAUUCUUCAGAAAGUUUUGUUAUCUGAGAAGCCGCUUAAUAUUGUAAUGAUAAUACAUACUUAUACGAAUUCUUAGCUAAAAUUGUAAAGCAUGGUCACUAUCUUGAAUUUUUUUAUUCUUGGUAUGAGCAUGUUAAAAAAUGUAUAGAGUUAGACCAAAAAAAGUUUGCAAUGAUUUUGGUAGCACACGCAGUGCGUUAUUUUAAACAUUAAACUCCUAUGUAAUUAUGACGUUUAAAUAACACUUGCACUACGUUUGCUAUUUAAAUUGUUGCAGACUUAUCUUGGUCCAACUAUGUAUCUGAGGAUUCGAAAGGCUUUGUCAUAGUAAUCCGAAGUCAAAAUUGUAAAUAAUGGCCACCAUCUUGAAUUCCUUAAUUUUUGCCCUGCGGUGUCAGCAUGGUUGCAUUUUUAUCACCUGUCACUAUGCCUGCCACUUUUGCACUUACAUACUUGUUAGAACGUGACAGGCAUGGUGACAGGCGAUAAAAAUGCUACCGUGCUAAGCCCGCGGAUCAUAAUGAAAAUUGAUAUAAGAAUUGGGGAUUUAAGUGGCCCUUUAACAUAUUACAUAUUAAUUAGUAGUUAAAAUUGUAAGAAACGGCACGUGUUAUGAAUUUGUACAUAUUGUGUUCAAUUGCGUCGAAAAUGUAAUAGGUACUUAAGUAGAUGUAGAUAAAUAUAAAUAAUAUGAACAUAUAAAUCUUCUCUAUAGGUUUUUCGAAAAGUGAGUUCUCAGUUCGGGGCGAACUACUAUCGUUUACCGUAGUCAGGUUUCAGCUCCAAAUCUUCUACAAAACAUAAUUAUAUCGAUCUCUGUACAGAAAAUUACAGACGUGGCGUCUCCGUUUGGUUAUAUCCUCCUAGUGAGUAAAUAGAUCCCUAGUGGCUUUCAUACGUCAUGUUCUCUGGCGUUGCGAUUUGCCAUAGAGCAUAACGUGCUUUCAUAUUGGUUGAUACUGUCGAAGGCCGAAGGCCGAGCUUCGCGUAGGGCCGAAGGCCCGAAGCGUCACACGAGAGGGGGAAGUUGGAGCUUAAACACGACCCAAUAGUAAAAAUGCCUCAGACAAGCGAAACGGCGGGCCGAAGGCCGAAGGCCGUAGGCCCGACGAUAUGAUAAUAAGCUGUGACAGACGGACAGACAGAGACAGGCGCACAAGUGAUCCUAUAAGUAAGCGUUCCGUUUUUUCCUUUUGAGGUACGGAACCCUAAAAAUGUACUCAUGCCAGUCCAUUGACAGAGCCCGGUAACGAUUUUAGAUCAAAAAUGUAAAAUUGAUAGAUUUUAGUCUUUGAAAUUGUACACCUUUUGUUACGUAAUUAUCUAAAUAACAAGUAUUGGUUUCUGUUAGCACGUAUUCUCAUCAUGCGUUUUAAUAAUGAGGUCGCGAGCGUGCGUCACUGGUAAUAUAUGAAGAGAAGGGGCAGUUUUUAAAAAUUCAUAAAAAUAAAAUGGUAAAUUAUACAAAAUGAUGUAUAAGAAUAGUUUCAGCAAAUUUUGUAGAUUAUUGAAGUAUCAAAAUUACGUUGAAAUUAUGUCUAUUUUCAGAGAAAUUGUCACUUGUUUUGAAGUAAUUUCUGGAGAAAAUUGAUUUCAUCUAACUUUCAUUUACACUACUUCAAAGUCAUAAUAAUAAAAAUGUAGUCUGUACAGGAUAUGUGUAAUACAAAAUUACCAUUUUUAGCAGUCCAAACUUUACGAAAUUUACAAAUAAGAGCGACAAAAUCAGUGCUUUACGCGCGUUUACCUAAACGUCCAACAGAAAAAAAAAACAUUACUAAUUUUGUGAACCUGUUUUCAAAAAAUUGAUCUGUAAAACGGCAAGAUGAGAAGACGUGCUAAUAGAAACUUGUUAUUUCUAUUACGUAUCAAACGUUGUAUAAUUUUACCGACUUAAUCUAUCAAUUUUACGGUUUUGCGACUAAAAUCGAUAACGGAUUCUUAAACGUUUAGCUUAAAAUUGUGAAAUUAAUUAUAUGUAGUGAUUGCACACAACUAUACACAUCAUUUAUUAGUAAAUUAAGUUCAUAAUAAACGUAAUGUAAAAGUAAUUUGUUACUGUUUUCGGUUUAAAUAAUAAAUUAUUCUCGGUACAUAGUCAAAUAGUAUGCUAUUGUUCAAUUAUCAAUUUUCCUUGACACUUGACAUAGUGAUUGGCAUACACGCCGUUUUGUCGCCUAAAUAGUGUUUAGUUUUUAAGUUUAUAAAAUGCAUAUAUAUAUAUGUUAGUCUGUAAGGUAUUUGUAAUAUGUGACUUGUAAUUGUUGCCUGAUUUAAAUUUUUAAAUAAAUAAAUAAAUUGUCCUAAAUUGCGUGUUGGUG